GUGCCCAAGGCCUGUCGACUUCCUUAGAAAGACAUGACGCUUCAUAAUUGCGCAUGUGUGGUCUGACCUUCUGGAAAUAGAUACCAGUUAUUAAUAUAAAAAUAUUUUGUUACAGCAACAUUGCUCCUAUCUGACUUUGUCUAUUCAACUUUGGGAACAAAUAAAAUCAUUUUUAUCAAAUAUUUUGAUUUAUGUCACACUACCAUAUGUAAAUUAUUAUUAUUUUAUAUAAAUUAUUACCUAUUUCAGUUUGUCUUUGUCUAUGUUCAUAAAAUCUAUGGAGGUCAGAGGCACAUAUACCCUCCAUAAAGCCUUGCACUUGGGUCUGGCCGGUUAGAACAUAGACAAAAGUCUGCAAUGUCAAUGCUGUCAAAGUCAUUGACGCAAAACUAUCAGUUAUCAUAUAAAAUGAUUAAAUAACGAUUUAUGUUGUUGAAAUAGAUUUAUUGAUUAAUUUUUAAAAUUAAAAAUCCACCGCACAGUAUCUCCGCUCAGACUCGGUUAAAGUUUAAUCCAUUGUACUAAACUAAGAAACAACAAUUAUUUCAAGAGGGUGAACGUGAGCAAAAAAUCCUUGGGCGUCAUAUCAUUUCCUUGGAAAGGCUCAAAAUCAAAAGGCACGGAACCGCCACAUAAUUGUGACUAGUUGUAGUUUCCCGGUGACCAUCAACAAGACCGCUGCACUGAGCUGUGGAGCAGAAAGUGUCCGACAAUCGGAUAGAUGUAAUAACAACUUUGUCUGUCAUAUAUUCAUGUAAUUUUUAGUUUUUUGGGCUGAUAUAUGUGAUAUGAUUACAAGUUACACUAAUUGCAAUUGUGGAGUAAAAUCAGAUGUGCCAAAGAUCAUGUUUUAGAUAUAUAAAAAGCUAUAUUAAAUGCAAUAAAUAGUAUAUGUAUAUAUAUAAAA
Cydia pomonella (codling moth) is the source of this 907-nucleotide long non-coding RNA. RefSeq lists it as uncharacterized. The record is from RefSeq and is a predicted model, not a curated record. NCBI's taxonomy places the organism in Eukaryota, Metazoa, Arthropoda, Insecta, Lepidoptera, Tortricidae. The transcript has 2 exons.